RNAcentral lists this ribosomal RNA (468 nucleotides) under uncultured bacterium. RNAcentral's name for it is "partial 16S ribosomal RNA". It matches the Rfam family "Bacterial small subunit ribosomal RNA", at positions 28 to 507 of the family's 1533-position model. The record is from RNAcentral.
GACGAACGCUGGCGGCGUGCUUAACACAUGCAAGUCGAACGGAAAGGCCCUGCUUUUGUGGGGUGCUCGAGUGGCGAACGGGUGAGUAACACGUGAGUAACCUGCUCUUGACUUUGGGAUAACUUCAGGAAACUGGGGCUAAUACCGGAUAGGAGCUCCUGCUGCAUGGUGGGGGUUGGAAAGUUUCGGCGGUUGGGGCUGGAUUCGCGGCUUAUCAGCUUGUUGGUGGGGUAGUGGCUUACCAAGGCUUUGACGGGUAGCCGGCCUGAGAAGGUGACCGGGCACAAUGGGACUGAGGUACGGCCCAGACGCCUACGGGAGGCAGCAGUGGGGAAUAUUGCACAAUGAGCGGAAGCCUGAUACAGCGACGCCGGGUGCGGGAUGACGGCCUUCGGGUUGUAAACCGCUUUCGCCUGUGACGAAGCGUGAGUGACGGUAAUGGGUAAAGAAGCACCGGCUAACUACGUG